Molecule: non-coding RNA, 80 nt
Filed under: human gut metagenome
Description: Glycine riboswitch
Rfam family: Glycine riboswitch aptamer
About the family: This family represents the bacterial glycine riboswitch. Glycine riboswitches usually consist of two metabolite-binding aptamers domains with similar structures in tandem.
Source: RNAcentral
GAGUUCGGGAGAGACUGCGACCCUUAUGCGGCCGCAGCGCCGAAGGGGAAAGCAAAAGCUCUCAGGCAAAAGGGCCGAAC